UUCCGGUUGAUCCUGCCGGAGGUCACUGCUAUUGGGAUUCGACUAAGCCAUGCGAGUCGAGAGGGUUCGGCCCUCGGCUGACGGCUCAGUAACACGUAGAUAAUCUGCCCUUAGGUGGAGGAUAAUCUCGGGAAACUGAGGAUAAUACUCCAUAGAUCUAGGAUGCUGGAAUGCAUCUAGAUUGAAAGUUCCGACGCCUAAGGAUGGGUCUGCGGACUAUCAGGUUGUAGUCAGGGUAAAGACCUGACUAGCCUACGACGGAUAUGGGUUGUGAGAGCAAUAGCCCAGAGACGAUAUCUGAGACACGAUAUCGGGCCCUACGGGGCGCAGCAGGCGCGAAAUCUUCACAAUGUGCGAAAGCACGAUGAGGGGAUCCCAAGUGCUGGCACGUAAGUGUCAGCUGUUUCUUAGUCUAAAAAACUGAGAGAGUAAGGGCUGGGUAAGACGGGUGCCAGCCGCCGCGGUAAUACCUGCAGCUCAAGUGGUGGCCGCUAUUAUUGGGCCUAAAACGUCCGUAGCCUGUUUAGUAAAUGCUUGGGUAAAUUGUGUAGCUUAACUAUACGAAUACCGGGUAGACUGCUAAACUUGGGACCGGGAGAGGCUAGAGGUACUCCCGGGGUAGAGGUGAAAUUCUGUAAUCCUAGGGGGACCACCAGUGGCGAAGGCGUCUAGCUAGAACGGGUCUGACGGUGAGGGACGAAGCCCUGGGGCGCAAACCGGAUUAGAUACCCGGGUAGUCCAGGGUGUAAACGCUGCUUGCUUGAUGUUAGUUGGGCUCCGAGCCCAACUAGUGUCGGAGAGAAGUUGUUAAGCAAGCUGCCUGGGAAGUACGGUCGCAAGACUGAAACUUAAAGGAAUUGGCGGGGGAGCACAGCAACGGGUGGAGCGUGCGGUUUAAUUGGAUCAACGCCGGUAAUCGUCG
RNAcentral lists this ribosomal RNA (922 nucleotides) under uncultured archaeon. RNAcentral's name for it is "bacterial SSU rRNA". It matches the Rfam family "Archaeal small subunit ribosomal RNA", at positions 1 to 930 of the family's 1478-position model. The record is from RNAcentral.